CCUACGGGUGGCUGCAGUGGGGGAUAUUGCACAAUGGGGGAAACCCUGAUGCAGCGACGCCGCGUGGGUGAAGAAGCGCCUCGGCGCGUAAAGCCCUGUCAGCAGGGAAGAAAAUGACGGUACCUGAAGAAGAAGCCCCGGCUAACUACGUGCCAGAAGCCGCGGGAAUACGUAGGGGGCAAGCGUUAUCCGGAUUUACUGGGUGUAAAGGGGGCGCAGACGGCGAUGCAAGCCAGGAGUGAAAGCCCGGGGCCCAACCCCGGGACGGCUCUUGAAACUGCGUGGCUAGAGGGCAGGAGGGGCAGGCGGAAUUCCUGGUGUAGCGGUGAAAUGCGUAGAUAUCGGGAGGAACACCGGUGGCGAAGGCGGCCUGCUGGACUGCAACUGACGUUGAGGCCCGAAAGCGUGGGGAGCGAACAGGAUUAGAUACCCCGGUAGUC
This 440-nucleotide ribosomal RNA is filed under the name uncultured bacterium. RNAcentral's name for it is "partial 16S ribosomal RNA". It matches the Rfam family "Bacterial small subunit ribosomal RNA", at positions 338 to 795 of the family's 1533-position model. The record is from RNAcentral.